AUUGAACGCUGGCGGCAGGCCUAACACAUGCAAGUCGAGCGGAUGAAGGGAGCUUGCUCCUGGAUUCAGUGGCGGACGGGUGAGUAAUGCCUAGGAAUCUGCCUGGUAGUGGGGGAUAACGUCCGGAAACGGGCGCUAAUACCGCAUACGUCCUGAGGGAGAAAGUGGGGGAUCUUCGGACCUCACGCUAUCAGAUGAGCCUAGGUCGGAUUAGCUAGUUGGUGGGGUAAAGGCCUACCAAGGCGACGAUCCGUAACUGGUCUGAGAGGAUGAUCAGUCACACUGGAACUGAGACACGGUCCAGACUCCUACGGGAGGCAGCAGUGGGGAAUAUUGGACAAUGGGCGAAAGCCUGAUCCAGCCAUGCCGCGUGUGUGAAGAAGGUCUUCGGAUUGUAAAGCACUUUAAGUUGGGAGGAAGGGCAGUAAGUUAAUACCUUGCUGUUUUGACGUUACCAACAGAAUAAGCACCGGCUAACUUCGUG
This 484-nucleotide ribosomal RNA is filed under the name uncultured bacterium. RNAcentral describes it as "partial 16S ribosomal RNA". It matches the Rfam family "Bacterial small subunit ribosomal RNA", at positions 30 to 507 of the family's 1533-position model. The record is from RNAcentral.